GACGAACGCUGGCGGCGUGCUUAACACAUGCAAGUCGAACGGAAAGGCCCUGCUUUUGUGGGGUGCUCGAGUGGCGAACGGGUGAGUAACACGUGAGUAACCUGCCCUUGACUUUGGGAUAACUUCAGGAAACUGGGGCUAAUACCGGAUAGGAUCUCCUGCUGCAUGGUGGGGGUUGGAAAGUUUCGGCUGUUGGGGAUGGACUCGCGGCUUAUCAGCUUGUUGGUGGGGUAGUGGCUUACCAAGGCUUUGACGGGUAGCCGGCCUGUGAGGGUGACCGGCCACAUUGGGACUGCGAUACGGACCAGUCUCCUACGGGGGGCAGCAGUGGGGAAUAUUGCACAAUGGGCGGAAGCCUGAUGCAGCAACGCCGCGUGCGGGAUGACGGCCUUCGGGUUAUGAACCGCUUUCGCCUGUGACGAAGCGUGAGUGACGGUAAUGAGUGAAGAAGCACCGGCUAACUACGUG
This 468-nucleotide ribosomal RNA is filed under the name uncultured bacterium. RNAcentral describes it as "partial 16S ribosomal RNA". It matches the Rfam family "Bacterial small subunit ribosomal RNA", at positions 28 to 507 of the family's 1533-position model. The record is from RNAcentral.